CGCUAUCACUCCUACGGGAGGCAGCAGUGGGGAAUCUUGGACAAUGGGGGCAACCCUGAUCCAGCCAUGCCGCGUGAGUGAUGAAGGCCUUAGGGUCGUAAAGCUCUUUCGCCUGUGAAGAUAAUGACGGUAGCAGGUAAAGAAACCCCCGGCUAACUCCGUGCCAGCAGCCGCGGUAAUACGGAGGGGGUUAGCGUUGUUCGGAAUUACUGGGCGUAAAGCGCACGUAGGCGGAUCGGAAAGUUGGGGUGAAAUCCCCGGGGCUCAACCCCGGAACUGCCUCCAAAACUAUCGGUCUAGAGUUCGAGAGAGGUGAGUGGAAUUCCGAGUGUAGAGGUGAAAUUCGUAGAUAUUCGGAGGAACACCAGUGGCGAAGGCGGCUCACUGGCUCGAUACUGACGCUGAGGUGCGAAAGUGUGGGGAGCAAACAGGAUUAGAUACCCUGGUAG
RNAcentral lists this ribosomal RNA (449 nucleotides) under uncultured bacterium. RNAcentral's name for it is "bacterial SSU rRNA". It matches the Rfam family "Bacterial small subunit ribosomal RNA", at positions 328 to 793 of the family's 1533-position model. The record is from RNAcentral.